RNAcentral lists this ribosomal RNA (62 nucleotides) under Foraminifera sp. RNAcentral's name for it is "partial small subunit ribosomal RNA". The record is from RNAcentral. Lineage: Eukaryota; Foraminifera.
GUGAUCUAAAGGAAAGAUUAGUCGUAACGAGGCAUCGGUAGGUGAACCUGCAGAAGGAUCAA